GGGGAAUUUUGGACAAUGGGGGAAACCCUGAUCCAGCAAUGCCGCGUGAGUGAAGAAGGCCUUCGGGUUGUAAAGCUCUUUUGUCAGGGAAGAAAAGGACCGGGCUAAUAUCCUGGUUUCAUGACGGUACCUGAAGAAUAAGCACCGGCUAACUACGUGCCAGCAGCCGCGGUAAUACGUAGGGUGCAAGCGUUAAUCGGAAUUACUGGGCGUAAAGCGUGCGCAGGCGGUUGUGUAAGACAGAUGUGAAAUGCCCGGGCUCAACCUGGGAAUUGCAUUUGUGACUGCACGGCUAGAGUGUGUCAGAGGGGGGUAGAAUUCCACGUGUAGCAGUGAAAUGCGUAGAUAUGUGGAGGAAUACCGAUGGCGAAGGCAGCCCCCUGGGAUAACACUGACGCUCAUGCACGAAAGCGUGGGGAGCAAAC
RNAcentral lists this ribosomal RNA (425 nucleotides) under uncultured bacterium. RNAcentral describes it as "bacterial SSU rRNA". It matches the Rfam family "Bacterial small subunit ribosomal RNA", at positions 356 to 773 of the family's 1533-position model. The record is from RNAcentral.